This 445-nucleotide long non-coding RNA is filed under the name Eucalyptus grandis. RNAcentral describes it as "long non-coding RNA (EGRA_LNC000192)". Lineage: Eukaryota; Viridiplantae; Streptophyta; Magnoliopsida; Myrtales; Myrtaceae. The record is from RNAcentral.
UUUGAUUGCAUGUGUUUAAUCUUAUUGCAAUUAGGAUCUUGGUAGUUUUGAUUAUUACUUUAAUGAUUGCGCGCAUGCAUGAUCACCUCACAUGUUAGUGGAUAAAUAUGAAAUCAAUCCAAAUUGCCUGCCAAAAAUCAUUUUUUUAAAAUGAACAAGAUUAGGUACCGAAAGGGCACUAAUUGGUUAAUUAGUGUAAUCAAGUCCCCGAACCUAAAUUCUCUGGUUGCGUAGGAAGUGAGGCACGCUCCCAUGCCUCACUUGGUUUCUAGUCGACCCCAAUAGGCUAGUGGCGACUCCUUUUAUGCAAAAUUUCUUAAGAAUAUCCCAACGUCACGCGGGGUAUGGGCUUGGGAGAGCUCGCGCUUAAUCAUGGGCCUUAGGCCCGUCCUUUAGGCAAUACCCCUAAACCUGUUCCCUCCCCCCGAGGGUAGGUCGCGACAAU